RNAcentral lists this ribosomal RNA (374 nucleotides) under uncultured eukaryote. RNAcentral describes it as "partial 18S ribosomal RNA". It matches the Rfam family "Eukaryotic small subunit ribosomal RNA", at positions 592 to 976 of the family's 1831-position model. The record is from RNAcentral.
CAAUAGCGUAUAUUUAAGUUGUUGCAGUUAAAAAGCUCGUAGUUGGAUUUCUGCUGAUCGCUGUCGGUCUGCCGUAAGGUGUGUACUGGCAGUGUUUGGCAUCUAUUCGAGAUUGGGUGUCCACUUGAUUGUGUGCACUCGAUGUCGGAGCUAAUACUUUGAGAAAAUUAGAGUGUUCCACGCAGGCGCGUGCCUUGAAUACUGCAGCAUGGGAUAUUGGAAGGCCGAUUGAGCUUUCUUGUUGGUUCUCGGUUUGAUCGGAAUGAUUAAUAGGGAUAGUUGGGGGCAUUCGUAUUCAACUGUCAGAGGUGAAAUUCUUGGAUUUGUUGAAGACGGACUACUGCGAAAGCAUCUGCCAUGGAUGUUCUCAUUGA